GCGGGAGUAAUUCAGCGGUAGAAUGCCACUCUUCCAAAGUGGACGUCGCGGGUUCGAGUCCCGUCUCCCGCU
This 72-nucleotide transfer RNA is filed under the name Pseudomonadota bacterium. Its description in RNAcentral is "tRNA-Gly". It matches the Rfam family "tRNA". Rfam says of the family: Transfer RNA (tRNA) molecules are approximately 80 nucleotides in length. Their secondary structure includes four short double-helical elements and three loops (D, anti-codon, and T loops). Further hydrogen bonds mediate the characteristic L-shaped molecular structure. tRNAs have two regions of fundamental functional importance: the anti-codon, which is responsible for specific mRNA codon recognition, and the 3' end, to which the tRNAs corresponding amino acid is attached (by aminoacyl-tRNA synthetases). tRNAs cope with the degeneracy of the genetic code in two manners: having more than one tRNA (with a specific anti-codon) for a particular amino acid; and 'wobble' base-pairing, i.e. permitting non-standard base-pairing at the 3rd anti-codon position. The record is from RNAcentral. RNAcentral also lists the same sequence under 1 other name. Lineage: Bacteria; Pseudomonadati; Pseudomonadota.